Molecule: transfer RNA, 89 nt
Organism: Paraphaeosphaeria sporulosa
Lineage: Eukaryota; Fungi; Ascomycota; Dothideomycetes; Pleosporales; Didymosphaeriaceae
Rfam family: tRNA
About the family: Transfer RNA (tRNA) molecules are approximately 80 nucleotides in length. Their secondary structure includes four short double-helical elements and three loops (D, anti-codon, and T loops). Further hydrogen bonds mediate the characteristic L-shaped molecular structure. tRNAs have two regions of fundamental functional importance: the anti-codon, which is responsible for specific mRNA codon recognition, and the 3' end, to which the tRNAs corresponding amino acid is attached (by aminoacyl-tRNA synthetases). tRNAs cope with the degeneracy of the genetic code in two manners: having more than one tRNA (with a specific anti-codon) for a particular amino acid; and 'wobble' base-pairing, i.e. permitting non-standard base-pairing at the 3rd anti-codon position.
Source: Rfam
GCGCCGUUGGUGCAGUGGUUAGCAUACUGCCUUCCCAGUGCUUUGCGGCUGAGAGGCAGGGGUCCGGGGUUCGAACCCCCGACGGCGCA